Molecule: long non-coding RNA, 434 nt
Organism: Varroa destructor (honeybee mite)
Lineage: Eukaryota; Metazoa; Arthropoda; Arachnida; Mesostigmata; Varroidae
Source: RefSeq, a predicted model, not a curated record
GCCUGUAGGACAAUCCUGUUGAGAGGCCAUCGCACCGAACAGGCGGAUCACUUGCUGUCAGGUCUUCUAACAGAGUGCAGCCGAAAAUAACCAUGACGAAGCUAACUGCUAUAACAGUCGCCAUUGCGGUGGCCAUCUUUAUGCAGGUGGCAACGGUGGCAGCCCAAGAAGCGCGCGUGGCCCAGCAAAAGUCUCCUGUGUGAUUCCCCCGACUAAGUUUAUGACAACAUGACCGAAAAAUGAAGAGCAGUAUUUCCUGGACUUUGUAGGUCCUAAACGGUUGUUAUUAGCGUUUCUGCCGCGCAUUUUCCGUAAAUUUAAUCAACGAUCAAAUUCAAAGUAUGGAUCUGAAUGCUCCAAAAUACAUCCAAUCUACAUGCGUUUCGUGUCAAUCGUAAGCAGUCAAAUAAACAUGCAGCAUACCUUCUCUGAAA